UACGGUGGGGGCAAGCGUUGUUCGGAAUUACUGGGCGUAAAGGGCGCGUAGGCGGCCUGCUAAGUCGAACGUGAAAUCCCCGGGCUCAACCCGGGAACUGCGUCCGAUACUGGCAGGCUUGAAUUCGGGAGAGGGAUGCGGAAUUCCAGGUGUAGCGGUGAAGUGCGUAGAUAUCUGGAGGAACACCGGUGGCGAAGGCGGCAUCCUGGACCGAAAUUGACGCUGAGGCGCGAAAGCCAGGGGAGCAAACGGG
This 253-nucleotide ribosomal RNA is filed under the name uncultured bacterium. RNAcentral describes it as "partial 16S ribosomal RNA". It matches the Rfam family "Bacterial small subunit ribosomal RNA", at positions 524 to 776 of the family's 1533-position model. The record is from RNAcentral.